UGCCACACUGAAGAUUUUACUGACUAAUUUGCUGCGUGAACUCAUUCAGUGUGGCAUG
This 58-nucleotide microRNA precursor is filed under the name Parasteatoda tepidariorum (common house spider). RNAcentral describes it as "microRNA pte-mir-11946 precursor". The record is from miRBase by way of RNAcentral. Lineage: Eukaryota; Metazoa; Arthropoda; Arachnida; Araneae; Theridiidae.